Molecule: long non-coding RNA, 665 nt
Organism: Biomphalaria glabrata
Lineage: Eukaryota; Metazoa; Mollusca; Gastropoda; Planorbidae
Exons: 2
Source: RefSeq, a predicted model, not a curated record
CUGAGAGAGAGAGAGAGAGAGAGAGAGAGAGAUAGAGAGCGUUUUAAACUAUUCAACCAUGUCGAUGUGCUAGAGACAUGUGUGUCGUUUUAAGAGUUUCUGUUGCUUAGAAAUUAACAUAAAACUUACACAGGUUUAUUUUUGAAGUCUUCCUUUAAGUCUACCGGAUAUUUCCUUUAUAUAAGCAUUGCAUGCAGGGAAACCUAUAACUGCUCUUGAAGCGUUUCCUGAAGCACACUAUGUGGAAGUAUUUCCCCGUUCUUGCAGGCGUCUGUUUGUACUGGAUACUGACCAUUGUCCAGUUGACGCGAGGAGAUCGGAGGAUGACUCUCAGCUGUGAAGUGGUGUACAAACUGUGUGAGGAUGGUGUCUACACAGCCACUGAGUGUGACAGUUUGUUAAGCAGGUGUUUACAUUAACACCUGAGCUCUUGCCCCGGAAGUAAACAUCUGAUCGAGCACAGAACAUGGAGUUGAUGUGCAUUUUAUUUUUUUUUCUAUAAAUCUAUCCACUUUAUAAAUGUGGUUUUGUUAUUUAUUCUUUUUGUUUUGAGAUUCAAAGGGAAAAAAAUGGUGAUGGUCAGAAAACAUAUUUUAACAAAUAGAGUCUAUGUCUCAGUCCAUGUUUCGAUUCUUGUGUUAGUCUAAUACACACUCAAUGUGACA